Carassius auratus (goldfish) is the source of this 1329-nucleotide long non-coding RNA. RefSeq lists it as uncharacterized. NCBI's taxonomy places the organism in Eukaryota, Metazoa, Chordata, Actinopteri, Cypriniformes, Cyprinidae. The transcript is spliced from 4 exons. The record is from RefSeq and is a predicted model, not a curated record.
CAUCUUCACAACAACUAUAUCAAAAACGUCCUCCAGUCCAGGGCCAGUCUAGAUGAAUGCAUAAAAAUCAAUGAAGCAAUAAAAGUCAAAGACAAUUCAAGAUAUGAUAUUAGGAUUGCACUGGGAUUGAAAGCUAUAUAUGCGGGACAAAAUAUCACAAUUCUGAAAUUCGUAUUUUUAAACAUACAGAAGGAACCUAAUCAUUCUUAAUUUCCCUCACAUCUGAAGUUCGUCAGAAACACAUUAAUGUUAUUUCAUAAUGAUCAGUGGAACUCUCUCACCUUACUGAAAUCAUUGUCACUAACUUCCUCUGUGUUCCAUGUCUGUUCAGGCUAUUUUUCUUUUCUUUUCUUUUUUUUUACAUUUGGACGACAACGUUAGCCUACUGUAAAAAGGGUGAACUUACCCAGAGAAGGACUUUGACUUACCCCACAUCUCAGUCUUAUUUUUAUAUCACUCUUCUGAGGGAUAUCUGUAUGGAACAAGUGCUAUAGCCCAGGGCUGGACUGGUAAUCUGGCAUACCGGACAAAUUCAAAUUCCCGGUGGGCCGACGCCCUUCUGGGCUGGUCGAUAUAAAAUACAUUUUUUUUUUUUAUAUUAUUUUUUUUUUUUUAAUUGGCCAACGACCGGCCCAUAAAGCAGGGACAGCGACCUAUUGGUUCAUUUUCCAUACUGACACUGGGCUGGCCCAAUCAUCUCUUAACAGGCUCUACCCCGCCCCCUCUGUUUCUUGUGUCAGAUGCAGUCUGUGGAUUAGGAUGGAGAAACAAACGCGCAAAGGGGUUGUGGAGAAGUUGCGUGCCAAAAAAAAAAUAAAAAAAAAAAUAUGUUGAUGCCUCAACAAGUGCAAAAAUAACCGACAUGUUUAGUGCUGUAGCUUCAGUUUCCAAGCCUACAGUACUUGACGACAUUUUGGAAAAACAGGUGAACAUAGCACGUGGAGGAGAGGUGACUAAAAGUUAGCCAUGGCGGCACCCAGGCAGAUGAGCAGGUGUCUGAUAGUGAAGUCAAAGAGGGACAGAGUGAGCAGGAGAGUGUAAUAGAAACGCCAAGUUGAGUUAGCAGUGGAGGAGAAGGACCUUUGGUCAACAGAGAGUCAAGUCAGAUGGCCAGUCAAGAAUUCCCAAACCAUCAGAGUGCAGAGUAAAUGCAGUACAGUGAUGCCCAAUGAUGUCCGUUGGGAAGUAAUCAAGUGUCAUAUGUGAAGGGACAGCAAUGCGAAGGAACACCAUCAGUCAGCACACGGCCACUUCCACCCAUGCCAUGCGUUCGGGACGCACUCGUGCUGGGCUCCUUUAGACACACCACAGCCGCUGCCAUCUCCGGGC